GCCUGAGUGGCUCAGUCGGUUGAGCAUCUGACUUCGGCUCAGGUCAUGAUCUCACAGUUUGUGGGUUCAAGCCCUGCAUCGGGCU
This 85-nucleotide transfer RNA is filed under the name Felis catus (domestic cat). It matches the Rfam family "tRNA". From Rfam's summary of the family: Transfer RNA (tRNA) molecules are approximately 80 nucleotides in length. Their secondary structure includes four short double-helical elements and three loops (D, anti-codon, and T loops). The record is from Rfam by way of RNAcentral. Lineage: Eukaryota; Metazoa; Chordata; Mammalia; Carnivora; Felidae. RNAcentral also lists the same sequence under 4 other names.